Molecule: long non-coding RNA, 1635 nt
Organism: Anser brachyrhynchus (Pink-footed goose)
Lineage: Eukaryota; Metazoa; Chordata; Aves; Anseriformes; Anatidae
Source: Ensembl
AGACAUAAUAGAGGAAAGAGACAAAAUAUGAAGAUUAUUAUUUGUAAACACAUUUAUUCCUAAAUUGAUCCUUUUUCCUUUUUUUUUUCUUUUUUUUUUCAUUAGUUAUCAGCUGGCUGCUUGCUAUUAAAGACACUAGUUCUGCGAACACUAAAAUUAGGUGCUUAAAUUUACUGGAAUUGCUAAUGCUGUUAAUGCGGGACGUAAGCACCGACAGGGCUGCAUCCAUAAUCCUGAGGCCAGCUCCCUAACUGGCUUAUUAGUUUUUUGUUGUAAACAUCAAAUAGAUAUAAUCUAACGGGACUUAAUGCAAUUUAUGCCAUAUGUUUUCCUUCUGUUUUCUGUGUUAUUUUGCUAGGGGUUUUGUUUUUCAAAUCCUAUUCCAUGUCUUUAAUGCUAUCUUCGCAACAACUGUAUUUGCAGGAUUACCUCUUCGAUUUCGCUAAUUUUACAGGCUCCAGAAAGCUACGAGUUUGUAUAAUAUCACACCAACUACAAUCAUGUAAAGACAAAACAAUAAUCUACUGAAAUUUCGGCUUUUUUUUGGCCCAAGAAGAUAGAAAUACAGAUUGGAACAUGGUGACUUCACGCAUACAGGCAGUUUCCCAAGUACUUAUUAAUUUAUUUAAGGUAUCUCUUUGCUACUUUAUGAAUGAUGCUACUUUAUGAAUUUAUUUUACCGUGGAGCUCAAAACUGAGCCUUUAUUUGGAUCUUCAGUAACCAGACAAUGAAGAAGACCACCCAGUUGAUGUGACCAUUGCAGUGAACUCUGUGUGGUCACAAAGAAGUGUGCAGCUACUAGAAGAGCUUUGAGAUGCACACAUAAGGUUACCAAAAUAAAAAACUACCAUAGUACUUGAUGACCACGCCAAGCAAACAAACAGAAGCAAAAGAAGCACAAAACCAACAUCCCAAGCCCUACAGAGCUGCUGCACAGACACACUUCGGUGGCACAGUGCUGCUUUCUCCUGUUUGGGUAGCUGCUUCUUGCCCAGCUACGGCUCAGUUUGAGCCGGUAGGAAGCAUCCUGGCCUCCUUCUUACUUCCUUCACCCGUUAUCUGUCUCGGGGCUCGGUGCACAAAGCCAGCCCCCCACGCCAAAACUGCUGCGAGGGGCCGAGAGGCAGCGGGCUGCAUCCCUCUUCCAGGCUGCGCCUUCGCUGUGCGUGAGGACACCGCCGGCCGCCUCGGCCGCCUCUCCCCUCGGCACCUGCCGAUCCGAGGCACCCGGCUGCAUCUCGGCGGCGAUUCCCCCCCUUCCCCCGCCGCCCGGGCCCCGCAGGCCGCCCCACCCGCCGCCGCUGUUGCCGAGAGACCGAGGGCGGCCGCCGCCGGGGCCCCCUCCGCUCCCCGCGACACCCCGGGACCGGGGCCGGCCCCUCCCGACCGCGCCAUGAAGGCGGAUGCUGGCGCGCUCCUGACGUCAAAGGCGCGUUUGUAGGAAGAGCUGAGGUUUCUGGUGGCCUUUGCCUACGAGCGUGGCUUUUAAGUUAGCUGCGGUUUCUUCAGUUACCCGUUGUUGCGUUCAGAGUCGCUCAUAAAGCAAAUAUUAACAGCGAGAAAAUACAAAGUGUACGCUGUUUGAGUCUUUUGUCUUUCACAUCUUCAAUUUCCUGGUUCAUUGCAUUGUCCCU